RNAcentral lists this long non-coding RNA (1142 nucleotides) under Dermacentor andersoni. Its description in RNAcentral is "uncharacterized LOC126547045". Lineage: Eukaryota; Metazoa; Arthropoda; Arachnida; Ixodida; Ixodidae. The record is from RNAcentral.
CUACCUUCUCUUUCUUUUCUUUAUUAAGCCUUCUUUUUAUGUGCCUCCUGGAGAAAGAGAUAGGGCCAUUCAACUUUUCGCUGUACUUUCACUUUCUUUGCUCCGAACCAGCACCUUGCUUGUUUUUUUUUUUUUUCUUUGAAUUGUGAGUGCUGCUGAGCGCGAGCCAACCAGACCGGCGGCACUGGGUUAGCGCGUGUCGCUGCUUGCACGAACAAAGUGCAGGUUUUGCCCUCACUUCCUCGCCAGCCCAGCUGCUUAUUUUGGUUGGCGCCACAGUUCGCCACGAGCCCCUUUCAUGAUGUAUUCUUUGCAGAAUGUUUCGCUUCUCAGCAAGGCGUUUAUUUGCAGUAUUCUCACUUGAGUACCUAUUCCCCCUUGUGCCCGAGUGUACCACGCUCUUGAGCCUCGGCGAUCAAGUUUGUGCUGAUAUACUUCUCUGGUGAAAGUGCUGCUCCGGUUGUUGUGUACGGCGGUGCACCGGCGCGAGUCGCGGUUUGCAAUCGGCGGAGGCGCCGGUGCUGCGCGUAGCAGACGACACGAGCGCCGUAGCAGACGGCAGUGAACGAAGCUCGGCGACGUCGCUUUGUGCAAGCACGCGUUGGCUGAUGCGUCAUCGUCGUAUGCUGGCUACACCGCUGCCGCGUUGUCCGUUGCAAACCUGCAAGUUUGAGCGCUACCUUCGCACCUACCGCCUGCGCCAGCACUGAGCUCCGAACGCUGCAAACGCAAAGUGUGGUGUCACGUUUGUCACGGUGUUGUGCAAAGUGCGCAAGUUCGAGGAGCGUCGCACUGUUGAUCGUGUGUGACAACGUAGACUUGCACGUGGCGUCAGCGACAGCACCUUUACUUCGCAUCGUAACGCCCACCGCUGAAACCGAACAAAAGCUUAUCUGCGACGGACGUAUCCUGUUCCCCACACCGCCCGGUCUUCGACAGAUGCACCCGCUUCUGACACCUUCCUGUCGCCAUCCACUGAGUGAAUGAUGCCAGCAGCGCUGAGGAACCUGUCGGUCGAGGCCGCGGCGAACACCCAGCCAACGCACGCGAAGGUGCCGAGCCAGAAGCUAGACCUGGGUUAGGCCUCGCGCCGUCGGCCCUACGGAGGCCGCCCGCGAGCCCGAGCCCAGCGAGCAGCAGCG